GAGGAGGAAGAGCAGGAUCAGCUGAACUACAGAAGAAAUAAAAAUAUUCCUGGUUUUCUCCAGAAAUUCAUCACUACCAACAACCAGGAUAAUUAACAAAAAGCAAUGUUAAACUGCUGAAAGAGGUGAAGCACAAGCCGUGCUGAAGAAUCUCCAGAACACGCAGAAAUCGUUUGACACAUUAAACAGACAAAUGAAGCCAAGUCCCGACAUAGAGAAACAUCAACACUCUGUCAAGAGUUUUACUAAACAGAGUGAUCUCAAAAUUCACCAGCGCAUUCACACAGGAGAGAAACCGUAUCACUGCUUAGACUGUGGGAAGAGUUUUACUAAACAGAGUAAUCUCAAAAAUCACCAGCGCAUUCACACUGGAGAGAAACCGUAUUACUGCUCAGACUGUGGGAAGAGUUUUACUAAACAGAGUACUCUCAAUAAUCACCAGCGCAUUCACACAGGAGAGAAACCGUAUUACUGCUCAGACUGUGGGAAGAGUUUUACUAAACAGAGUACUCUCAAUAAUCACCAGCGCAUUCACACAGGAGAGAAACCAUAUUACUGCUCCGAAUGUGGGAAGAGUUUUAAUCAACAGAGUAAUCUCAAACUGCAUCAGCGCAUUCACACCGGAGAGAAACCGUAUUACUGCUCAGACUGUGGGAAGAGUUUUACUCAACAGAGUCAUCUCAAUAAUCACCAGCGCAUUCACACAGGUGAGAAACCGUAUUACUGCUCAGACUGUGGGAAGAGUUUUACUAAACAGAGUAAUCUCAAUAAUCACCAGCGCAUUCACACAGGAGAGAAACCGUAUUACUGCUCAGACUGUGGGAAGAGUUUUACUACACAGAGUGAUCUCAAAAAACACCAGCGCAUUCACACAGGAGAGAAACCGUAUCACUGCUUAGACUGUGGGAAGAGUUUUACUGAACAGGGUGCUCUCAAAAAACACCAGCGCAUUCACACAGGAGAGAAACCGUAUCACUGCUCAGACUGUGGGAGGAGUUUUACUCAACGGAGUGAUCUCAAAAAACACCAGCGCAUUCACACAGGAGAGAAACCGUAUCACUGCUCAGACUGUGGGAGGAGUUUUACUCAACAGAGUAAACUCAAAAAUCACCAGCGCAUUCACACAGGAGAGAAAACUCCCAAAUUUGUUCCACUGCAAUAAAAAGUGCAAAUCGUAAAUCUUUCAGACAGAACACCUUAUCCUACAAAAAUGUUUCACUUUGUCACUUGGGACACGUUUCACCAGAAACAAACAUGAACUGAAUUUAACAAUGAAUUUUACAGGUUCAGCAAAAUGAAUCUGAUCCAGCGAUGAUGUUUAUUGAAUUUAAUGUUAUGUUUUCUCGUAUGUUUGAAUAUUCCAGGACAUUCUUCGUGAGUUUUUAGGUCAGUUUUUAGGGUAGUUACGGUAGGAGUUCAGUUCUGAAGAAGGGAAGGUCGUUUAAGUUCGAGUGAGGGCACUGCCAGUGUUUGCACCAGAUGUUAGAUUAGCAUAAUUUAGUCUUUAAAAUUUAGAUGUUGUUAGGAGUACAGUAGGAUUCUUAGUCUGCAACUAAGCAUUUUGGAUCAAACCUUCAGUGCUUAUGCCUAAAAGGUUUUGAAUGCAUUUAAUCGCUUUUCUAGUAUAUACAGAUUUAAUUAUUUCCAUUAAUUUCCAAUAUUUUUUGGGUGAAGCUACUGUCGCGCUGAGCUUUUUAACUGUCCCUGCGGAGCUCUUUAACUGUUAAAAAGCUCUGCACGACAGUAGGUGAACUCCCAGUUACGCAACAGAGGGGUGUGCAUGCUAAAAUCUAGUGUAUUUAGUAUCUUCUCUGCUUGUUACAUAAUUAUAGCCUAUCUAACGUUCCACUCUUGACCUUGUGGCUGUUUAUGAGUGUUUUCUAGUUUUAACAAUGUCUACCUUUUAGAAAUGAAUACAGGAAUAGUCAACCAUGCUAGAAAUUAAUCAUUCAUUAUUGUGGCACUGUCACUAUAUUGCAAAAAUAUUUUAUACAGUAAGGAACCUAAGUUUAUUGUUUGAAAUAAAUGUUCUAUUUGUUUAAAUUGUCUUUUCAUCUUUUUAUCUUCUCACAUAAUUUAAACAAAAUUUAUAGGCCAUUUGAAUUGAUAAAUCAUUCUAGAAUCGAAAAUCGUUUCUGAAUCGAACCUUGACCCCAAAAAUCGGAAUCGAAUCAAAUCGAAACACUGAGAGAUUCAUACCCCUAAUAUUUACUCGUGUGUGUUUCAAUAAAAUUCUUUUAUAUUGCAAGAUCUGCAAUCUCGUGUUUUCUCACUAUAUGGUUGAUAACCUUUCUGUGACCUGGAACCUAUCCAUCCUGAGCCUGUUUUAUGUUAUUAUUUGGUGAAGGGUGUGAUUGGAGAUAACCACACCUGCACACUCUUAUUUUUAAAUGUUUUAUACAUUUAUAUAUACAGUUAUUAUUUUUCUGUUCACUUAAUAAUUUAUUUAAAAACUGCUCUCUUUUGAACUGUCACAAUGACACAAGGCUUUGGAGGUUGUUUGUACGUUUUCAGGAAUCAGGAAGGUCAGAGUGUUUUCAUCAACAGUGAGAGCUGUGAGGAGAACGUGACCCUGAGUGGCAGAGAAGCUUCACUGCUGUUCUGGGACCAGUGCAUAUGAACUAGGAGACAACAAGCUAUCUGAGUGAAGUGCUGGGAACCUCUCCUCAGAUAUCCAGCGCAUGCCUGUUCUACACACCGUAAAGUCGCACACAGGCCAGAAGAUCUUUCCAUCCCCUCUUUUCCUCUGUUUCAUCUUCUCACAGACUUUAGGGCACAUAAGGAUUGUUUGGAACACAAGGACUGUCUGCUGUGUUCAUGAAGGACACAGAGCUGAACAACAUCAUGAUAAGAACUUGUUGCUCAGACAGGCUGGAGCGGAUCACGUCAUUGGAUCUGGACAACAAGCUGUUAACUGGACUGGAUAAAUGUAUAACUGCUUGGAUUAAGUCUGGAGGGCUCCCUCUCUUUCUCUCUCUCUGGGUUGUGAAUGUGUUGAUCUAUCACGAUUUUAUUACACUAUGUGUUCACUCGUUGAUGUACUCUUUUCUAAUAUAUAUUUUUAUAUAUAUGUAAUGCUGAAACUAUGCUUUUUCCAGUGAACUUUCAUACAUUUUAAAUUCUAA
Astyanax mexicanus (Mexican tetra) is the source of this 3125-nucleotide RNA transcript. It is a transcript of the gene named zinc finger protein 239-like, with no coding region annotated. Lineage: Eukaryota; Metazoa; Chordata; Actinopteri; Characiformes; Acestrorhamphidae. The transcript has 3 exons. The record is from RefSeq and is a predicted model, not a curated record.